AGCUCCAAUAGCGUAUAUUAAAGUUGUUGCAGUUAAAAAGCUCGUAGUUGGAUUUCUGAAUGAAUUAUUCGGUCCAUUUGCGAAAGCAUUUGUGUACUAGAAAAAUUUGUUCAUUUUUGUGAGAGAGAUUAGAUGCCAUUAAGUUGGUGACUUUUUAAUCUUUGCAUCGUUUACUGUGAAAAAAUUAGAGUGUUUAAAGCAGGCUUUGGCCAAAUCUUGAAUACAUUAGCAUGGAAUAAUAAGAUAUGACUUUGGUGGUCUAUUUUGUUGGUUUGCACACCAGAGUAAUGAUUAAUAGGGACAGUUGGGGGUAUUUAUAUUCCUUCGUCAGAGGUGAAAUUCUUGGAUCGAUGGAAGAUAAACUAAUGCGAAAGCAUUUAUCAAGGAUGUUUUCAUUAAU
This 400-nucleotide ribosomal RNA is filed under the name phytoplankton environmental sample. RNAcentral describes it as "partial small subunit ribosomal RNA". It matches the Rfam family "Eukaryotic small subunit ribosomal RNA", at positions 587 to 977 of the family's 1831-position model. The record is from RNAcentral.